RNAcentral lists this transfer RNA (73 nucleotides) under Ovis aries (sheep). It matches the Rfam family "tRNA". Rfam says of the family: Transfer RNA (tRNA) molecules are approximately 80 nucleotides in length. Their secondary structure includes four short double-helical elements and three loops (D, anti-codon, and T loops). Further hydrogen bonds mediate the characteristic L-shaped molecular structure. tRNAs have two regions of fundamental functional importance: the anti-codon, which is responsible for specific mRNA codon recognition, and the 3' end, to which the tRNAs corresponding amino acid is attached (by aminoacyl-tRNA synthetases). tRNAs cope with the degeneracy of the genetic code in two manners: having more than one tRNA (with a specific anti-codon) for a particular amino acid; and 'wobble' base-pairing, i.e. permitting non-standard base-pairing at the 3rd anti-codon position. The record is from Rfam by way of RNAcentral. Lineage: Eukaryota; Metazoa; Chordata; Mammalia; Artiodactyla; Bovidae.
UCCCUGGUGGUCCAGCAGCCAAGACUCUGCACUCGCAAUGCAUGGGGCCCAGGUUCAACCCCUGCUCAGGGAA